GCGGGCCCCUACCGGGGUACCAACAAAUAUCAAACUCCGAAUACCGUAUGUGUAUGAGCUCAGGAGUCAGACUAUGUGGGACAAGCCGCAUGGUCAAAAGGGAAACAGCCCAGAUCGCCGUCUAAGGCCCCCAAGAUGGGCUAAGUGGAAUUAAGGAUGUGGAGUUGCUUGGACAAUCAGGAUGUUGGCUUAGAGGCAGCCACCAUUUAAAGAGUGCGUAAUAGCUCACUGAUCGAGUGAUUCUGCGCCGAAAAUAAUCGGGACUAAAGCCCAUUGCCGAAGACGCGACCCAGCUUGCUGGGGGUAGGAGAGCGUUCUAUGCAGGAGUGAAGCUUGAUGGAAACAACAGGUGGACCGCAUAGAAGUGAGAAUGCAGACAUAAGUAACGAAAAACCAGGUGAGAAUCCUGGUCACCGAAAUCCGAAGGUUUCCUGGGCAAGGUUCGUCCCCCCAGGGUUAGUCGGACCCUAAGGCGAGGCCCAACGGCGUAGUCGAUGGACAACAGGUUAAUAUUCCUGUACUAGCUAAGUGUAGUGAUGAAGGGACGCGGAAGGAAAAUGUUAAUGACUGAUGGAUUAGUCAUACCAAGCAGGCAAUUCGUAGAGUAGGAAAAUCCGCUUUACAUAAGAACCAACUGUGAUGGGGCGAAGAAACCCUCGGGUGGAACCGUCUAACAUGGAACCAUGCUGCCAAGAAAAGCUUCUAAGCGUUUGAUGCUUAGUUAUCCGUACUAAAACCGACACAGGUAGGAAGGUCGAGUAGACUAAGGUGCGCGAGAGAAACCACGUUAAGGAACUCGGCAAAUUAGCCCCGUAACUUCGGGAGAAGGGGUGCCCCCUCAGGGGGGCCGCAGUUAAGAGGUCUGGGCGACUGUUUAGCAAAAACAUAGCACUCUGCAAACUCGAAAGAGGAAGUAUAGGGUGUGACACGUGACCAAUGCCAAAAGGUCAAAUGGAGAGGUUAGCCUUCGGGCAAAGCUUCGAAAUGAAGCCCUGGUGAAUGUCGGCCGUAACUAUAACGGUCCUAAGGUAGCGAAAUUCCUUGUCGGGUAAGUUCCGACCUGCACGAAUCGUGUAACGAUCCAGACACUGUCUCAACGUGGAUCUCGGUGAAAUUGUAGUUCCGGUGAAAAUGCCGGAUACCCGCAGAUGGACGGAAAGACCCCAUGAACCUUUACUGUAAUCUGAUAUUGUUGUUCGGACUAAUAUGUGUAGCAUAAGUGGGAGACUGUGAACUUGCGUCGUCAGGCGUUUGUGAGUCGUCAGUGAAAUACCACCCUUAUUAGUUUGGGCAUCUAACCCCACGUCCGUGAAUCCGGAUGGGGGACAGUUUCAGAGGGUCAGUUUGACUGGGGCGGUUUCCUCCUAAAAUGUAACGGAGGAGCUCGAAGGUCUACUCAGUAUGGUCGGCAAUCAUACGUAGAGCGUAAGGGUAGAAGUAGGCUUUACUGUAACACCGACAGGUGGAGCAGUUGCGAAAGCAGGACCUAGUGAUCCAGCGGUGGAAAGUGGUAUCGCCGUUGCUCAUCGGAUAAAAGGUACUCUGGGGAUAACAGGCUUAUCGCACCCAAGCGUCCAUAGCGACGGUGCGGUUUGGCACCUCGAUGUCGGCUCAUCACAUCCUGGGGCUGAAGAAGGUCCCAAGGGUCCGGCUGUUCGCCGGUUAAAGUGGUACGCGAGCUGGGUUCAGAACGUCGUGAGACAGUUCGGUCCUUAUCCUCUGCGGGCGCAGGAUAUUUGAUAGGAGCAUUCCCUAGUACGAGAGGACCGGGAAUGAGUGACCUCUGGUGUUCCAGUUGUACCGCCAGGUGCAUUGCUGGGUAGCUAAGUCGCGAAAGGAUAAGCGCUGAAAGCAUCUAAGCGCCAAGCCCCCCUAAAGAUGAGAUAUCCCAGGAUUUAUCCUCUAAAGGCUACAGGAAGACUACCUGUUCGAUAGGCUGGAGAUGUAAGCAUAGCAAUAUGUUCAGUUGACCAGUACUAAUCAGCCGUGAGGCUUGUCC
Molecule: ribosomal RNA, 1999 nt
Filed under: marine metagenome
Description: bacterial LSU rRNA
Rfam family: Bacterial large subunit ribosomal RNA
Source: RNAcentral